RNAcentral lists this long non-coding RNA (540 nucleotides) under Homo sapiens (human). RNAcentral's name for it is "non-protein coding lnc-CD8B2-1:1". The record is from RNAcentral. Lineage: Eukaryota; Metazoa; Chordata; Mammalia; Primates; Hominidae.
UUAUUUAAAAGAUCAUCCUUUCCUCACUGUACUGCAUUAGAACCUUUGUUAUAAACCAAGUAACUACUUGUAUGUUUGUCUUUUUCUGCAUUUUUUAUUUUGUUCAAUCUGUCGAUUUAUCUGUCUUUGCACUAAUUUCACACUUUCUUGAUUGCUGUGUCUUACAUAUAUGUAAUGAAGUGACUGAGAAAGUAGCAAAUACAGACUACCCAAAUACCACAAGUGAUCCUGUCCAGGAGAUAUGAUUUUCCAAAAUACUGAACAGAACUUUGGAAAGUGUUGAUCAUGUGUUUACUUCCAAAUCCACGUCAGAUGGAAAUCUGGCAUUGCAAAUGUGACUAGUAGACUGGACAUUGCUGAGGAAAGAAUCAGUGAGCUUGAAGAUACAUCAGCGGAAACUUUCAAAAUUAAUAUGCAAAGAGAAAAAAGAAUGAAAAAAUGGAACUGAAAUAGAAUAUCCAAAAGCUAGUUAAUGAACCUACCUUAUACCACAAUCAAAUCCUCAAUGGCAUCAAAUGGAAUACAAGAAAGAGAAAAUCA